UAAACGUACAUUUUUGUCAGUUACAAUUUGGAACGGGGGGGUGGGGGGGGAGUACAAUCAAUUGAGAUGAAAGACUUUAUCACGAAAUAAAAUUCGAUAUUCAGAUGGAGCAAGAAUACCUCCUUGAACUUACUUACAAAGGUGUUUUUGUGUUAGCUAUAUUACAUGUAGCUGCACUAGUAUACUGGCUUUUUUGUCUUUUCAGAGGGAGGAAAGGCGACAAGAGAAGUUCUCCAAACUUCAUUGAACAUUCGAAUGUAUAUUGGUAGACAAAAUUCAUGUCAACCAUGUCUACUUGAUGUAAGAUUAAUUAAUAACACUUAAUAUGCAACCAAA
This is a long non-coding RNA of Xenia sp. Carnegie-2017, 336 nucleotides long. RefSeq lists it as uncharacterized. NCBI's taxonomy places the organism in Eukaryota, Metazoa, Cnidaria, Anthozoa, Malacalcyonacea, Xeniidae. The record is from RefSeq and is a predicted model, not a curated record. The transcript is spliced from 3 exons.